RNAcentral lists this ribosomal RNA (253 nucleotides) under uncultured bacterium. RNAcentral's name for it is "partial 16S ribosomal RNA". It matches the Rfam family "Bacterial small subunit ribosomal RNA", at positions 524 to 776 of the family's 1533-position model. The record is from RNAcentral.
UACGUAGGGUGCAAGCGUUAAUCGGAAUUACUGGGCGUAAAGCGUGCGCAGGCGGUUUUGUAAGCCAGAUGUGAAAUCCCCGGGCUUAACCUGGGAAUGGCAUUUGGGACUGCAAGGCUUGAGUGCGGCAGAGGAGACUGGAAUUCCUGGUGUAGCAGUGAAAUGCGUAGAUAUCUGGAGGAACACCGGUGGCGAAGGCGGCAUCCUGGACCGAUAUUGACGCUGAUGCGCGAAAGCCAGGGGAGCGAACAGG